RNAcentral lists this transfer RNA (87 nucleotides) under compost metagenome. Its description in RNAcentral is "tRNA-Ser". The record is from RNAcentral.
CUACGCCGAGCUGCUGGCGCGGGUGCGCAGCCUGCUGCGCCGCGGGCCGCCACGCGAGGUCGAGCAGUUCCACGUUGCCGAUCUGGA